CAGCCGCCGCGGUAAUACCGGCGGCCCGAGUGGCGGUCACUAUUAUUGGGCUUAAAGCGUCCGUAGCCGGGUUGGGAAGGCCUCCGGGAAAUCUGGCCGCUUAACGGUCCGAAUGCCGGAGGAUACUCCCAGCCUAGGGAGCGGGAGAGGCCGAGGGGAUUCCCGGAGUAGGGGGGAAAUCCUAUAAUCCCGGGAGGACCACCUGUGGCGAAGGCGCUCGGCUGGAACGCGUCCGACGGUGAGGGACGAAGGCCAGGGGAGCAAACCGGAUUAGAUACCCGGGUAGUCCUGGCUGUAAACGAUGCGGACUUUGUGUCGGACAAGCUAUGAGCUUGUCCGGUGCCGGAGGGAAACCGUUAAGUCCGCCGCCUGGGGAGUACGGCCGCAAGGCUGAAACUUAAAGGAAUUGGCGGG
RNAcentral lists this ribosomal RNA (414 nucleotides) under uncultured microorganism. Its description in RNAcentral is "bacterial SSU rRNA". It matches the Rfam family "Archaeal small subunit ribosomal RNA", at positions 459 to 872 of the family's 1478-position model. The record is from RNAcentral.